RNAcentral lists this unclassified non-coding RNA (23 nucleotides) under Chlamydomonas reinhardtii. RNAcentral's name for it is "small RNA Cre_0898". The record is from RNAcentral. Lineage: Eukaryota; Viridiplantae; Chlorophyta; Chlorophyceae; Chlamydomonadales; Chlamydomonadaceae.
CACUACCCGAGUUAACUCAGGUG